Molecule: ribosomal RNA, 303 nt
Filed under: uncultured bacterium
Lineage: Bacteria
Description: partial 16S ribosomal RNA
Rfam family: Bacterial small subunit ribosomal RNA
Source: RNAcentral
AGCAGUCGCCACGGUAAUACGAAGGGGGCUAGCGUUGUUCGGAAUUACUGGGCGUAAAGGGCGCGUAGGCGGCCAUUCAAGUUAGAUGUGAAAGCCCUGGGCUCAACCUAGGAAUUGCAUUUGAUACUGUUUGGCUUGAGUUCGGGAGAGGUGAGUGGAAUUCCCAGUGUAGAGGUGAAAUUCGUAGAUAUUGGGAAGAACACCAGUGGCGAAGGCGACUCUCUGGUCUGUAACUGACGCUGAGGAGCGAAAGCGUGGGGAGCGAACAGGAUUAGAUACCCCGGUAGUCCCUGUCUCUUCUAC